UACGUAGGGUGCGAGCGUUAAUCGGAAUUACUGGGCGUAAAGCGUGCGCAGGCGGUUUUGUAGGCCAGAUGUGAAAUCCCCGGGCUUAACCUGGGAAUGGCAUUGGUGACUGCACGGCUAGAGUGUGUCAGAGGGGGGUAGAAUUCCACGUGUAGCAGUGAAAUGCGUAGAGAUGUGGAGGAAUACCGAUGGCGAAGGCAGCCCCCUGGGAUAACACUGACGCUCAUGCACGAAAGCGUGGGGAGCAAACAGG
Molecule: ribosomal RNA, 253 nt
Filed under: uncultured bacterium
Lineage: Bacteria
Description: partial 16S ribosomal RNA
Rfam family: Bacterial small subunit ribosomal RNA
Source: RNAcentral